RNAcentral lists this ribosomal RNA (254 nucleotides) under uncultured bacterium. RNAcentral's name for it is "partial 16S ribosomal RNA". It matches the Rfam family "Bacterial small subunit ribosomal RNA", at positions 524 to 776 of the family's 1533-position model. The record is from RNAcentral.
UACGUAGGGUGCAAGCGUUAAUCGGAAUUACUGGGCGUAAAGCGUGCGCAGGCGGUUGUGCAAGACAGAUGUGAAAUCCCCGGGCUUAACCUGGGAACUGCAUUUGUGACUGCACAGCUGGAGUGCGGCAGAGGGGGAUGGAAUUCCGGCGUGUAGCAGUGAAAUGCGUAGAUAUGCGGAGGAACACCGAUGGCGAAGGCAAUCCCCUGGGCCUGCACUGACGCUCAUGCACGAAAGCGUGGGGAGCAAACAGG